Molecule: transfer RNA, 72 nt
Filed under: Candidatus Westeberhardia cardiocondylae
Lineage: Bacteria; Pseudomonadati; Pseudomonadota; Gammaproteobacteria; Enterobacterales; Enterobacteriaceae
Description: transfer RNA Glycine
Rfam family: tRNA
About the family: Transfer RNA (tRNA) molecules are approximately 80 nucleotides in length. Their secondary structure includes four short double-helical elements and three loops (D, anti-codon, and T loops). Further hydrogen bonds mediate the characteristic L-shaped molecular structure. tRNAs have two regions of fundamental functional importance: the anti-codon, which is responsible for specific mRNA codon recognition, and the 3' end, to which the tRNAs corresponding amino acid is attached (by aminoacyl-tRNA synthetases). tRNAs cope with the degeneracy of the genetic code in two manners: having more than one tRNA (with a specific anti-codon) for a particular amino acid; and 'wobble' base-pairing, i.e. permitting non-standard base-pairing at the 3rd anti-codon position.
Source: RNAcentral
GCGGGAGUAGCUUAAUAGGUAGAGUACAACCUUGCCAAGGUUGGGGAACGAGUUCGAUUCUCGUCUCCCGCU